Molecule: ribosomal RNA, 500 nt
Filed under: uncultured bacterium
Lineage: Bacteria
Description: partial 16S ribosomal RNA
Rfam family: Bacterial small subunit ribosomal RNA
Source: RNAcentral
AUUGAACGCUGGCGGCAUGCCUUACACAUGCAAGUCGAACGGAUAAGAAGGGCUUGCUCUUCCGGUUAGUGGCGAACGGGUGAGUAAUGCAUCGGAACGUAACCAGUCGUGGGGGAUAACGUAGCGAAAGUUACGCUAAUACCGCAUACGAUCUGAGGAUGAAAGCGGGGGACCUUCGGGCCUCGCGCGAUUGGAGCGGCCGAUGUCGGAUUAGCGAGUUGGUGAGGUAAAGGCUCACCAAGGCGACGAACCGUAGCUGGUCUGAGAGGACGAACAGCCAGACUGGAACUGAGACACGGUCCAGACUCCUACGGGAGGCAGCAGUGGGGAAUUUUGGACAAUGGGCGAAAGCCUGAUCCAGCCAUGCCGCGUGAGUGAAGAAGGCCUUCGGGUUGUAAAGCUCUUUCAGACGGAAAGAAAUCUUCUGGGUGAAUAUCCCGGGAGGAUGACGGUACCGUAAGAAGAAGCACCGGCUAACUACGUGCCAGCCGCCGCCGUAA